Molecule: long non-coding RNA, 292 nt
Filed under: Brassica napus (rape)
Lineage: Eukaryota; Viridiplantae; Streptophyta; Magnoliopsida; Brassicales; Brassicaceae
Description: long non-coding RNA (BNAP_LNC010151)
Source: RNAcentral
CUAAGUUUGUAGCUUAGUUUAUAACAUAAUCCAUGUUUCUAUUGAAAAUGGAAUCAUAUCAUUAAAAUCUGAUUUGAUAAAAUGCUCAAAAACUACGCAAUAUAUACUGUAUUUUAAGUCGGGUGAAUUUAGUCGACGAGAAUGUUUUUUCUUAGAUGAAUGAUAACAUAAAGCUUUCUGUUAAAUUAUUUAUGACGUUCUUGACCAUAACAAAUUAUCUUAUUUUUCUAUAUUAAAAAAAAAAAGGGCAAAUCUCUAAAAUAGCACAUUUCUAAGUUUAUAUCACAAAAAU